AUGAGAAGUUACUACGUGUUUAACAACAUCAACAGAAGAACAUAGAAUCCGUCACUGUGUGUCAAGCCAGUUACAUCUGCAAAACUUUGAAGUAAUUGGGUCAGGACAAAAUCCUGUACAUGUACACAUAUUGGAGGGAACUAUCGGUAACUCGACAACAAGGUUGGAGACUUCAUCAUAUGAUUGUACGCCCAUAUCUUCCACUUCAUAUGGAACAACCGCCGAAGGUAAUACAGUCUCCAAAACACUUCUGUAUAGUAAUUACACUCAGUAUCAGUUGAGCGGUCCAAACGUAUUCGAAAUUCCAAAGGCAUGUUUGACGACAGCUCAGCCAGUUGGGAAGUAAUGCACUAGGAGUUCUGUGCACAUGCUAGAUCCAAGGCUUAUGAAUAAAAAUUAAAAACAAACAAACCCAUAAAAUAUUACUUUUACGAUAAGCGUACCAUGUAAAUUACAUUUGUUCUUUUUAUAGGAAAAAAGGUUUUGAGAUUGUUUGAUAUAUGAAUUUAUUUACAAAUAAUUUACUGCUAGUGCACGAUGAAUACAUACAGCUAUUACGAUAAGCGAGUAACCUGUAGUUUGUUAGCUCAUGAAUCGCACCAAAGUAUCUCAUUAAUAUUCAAAGUAUUUGCUCUAAGAUUGUUUAGCCUAAUUAAAAA
Ruditapes philippinarum (Manila clam) is the source of this 659-nucleotide long non-coding RNA. RefSeq lists it as uncharacterized. Lineage: Eukaryota; Metazoa; Mollusca; Bivalvia; Venerida; Veneridae. The transcript has 4 exons. The record is from RefSeq and is a predicted model, not a curated record.